AGUGAACGCUGGCGGUAGGCCUAACACAUGCAAGUUGAACGGCAGCACAGUAAGAGCUUGCUCUUACGGGUGGCGAGUGGCGGACGGGUGAGGAAUACAUCGGAAUCUACUUUUUCGUGGGGGAUAACGUAGGGAAACUUACGCUAAUACCGCAUACGACCUACGGGUGAAAGCAGGGGAUCUUCGGACCUUGCGCGAUUGAAUGAGCCGAUGUCGGAUUAGCUAGUUGGCGGGGUAAAGGCCCACCAAGGCGACGAUCCGUAGCUGGUCUGAGAGGAUGAUCAGCCACACUGGAACUGAGACACGGUCCAGACUCCUACGGGAGGCAGUAGUGGGGAAUAUUGGACAAUGGGCGCAAGCCUGAUCCAGCCAUACCGCGUGGGUGAAGAAGGCCUUCGGGUUGUAAAGCCCUUUUGUUGGGAAAGAAAAGCAGCAGGUUAAUACCCCGCUGUUCUGACGGUACCCAAAGAAUAAGCACCGGCUAACUUCGUG
Molecule: ribosomal RNA, 492 nt
Filed under: uncultured bacterium
Lineage: Bacteria
Description: partial 16S ribosomal RNA
Rfam family: Bacterial small subunit ribosomal RNA
Source: RNAcentral